ACGUAUGGAGCAAGCGUUAUCCGGAUUUACUGGGUGUAAAGGGAGCGUAGGUGGCCAUGCAAGUCAGAAGUGAAAAUCCGGGGCUCAACCCCGGAACUGCUUUUGAAACUGUGAGGCUAGAGUGCAGGAGGGGUGAGUGGAAUUCCUAGUGUAGCGGUGAAAUGCGUAGAUAUUAGGAGGAACACCAGUGGCGAAGGCGGCUCACUGGACUGUAACUGACACUGAGGCUCGAAAGCGUGGGGAGCAAACAG
RNAcentral lists this ribosomal RNA (251 nucleotides) under uncultured bacterium. RNAcentral describes it as "partial 16S ribosomal RNA". It matches the Rfam family "Bacterial small subunit ribosomal RNA", at positions 525 to 775 of the family's 1533-position model. The record is from RNAcentral.